This 45-nucleotide non-coding RNA is filed under the name Schistosoma mattheei. Lineage: Eukaryota; Metazoa; Platyhelminthes; Trematoda; Strigeidida; Schistosomatidae. The record is from RNAcentral.
AUUCAGCUGAUGAGUUCAAAAUAGAACGAAACGCGUGUCCUGGAU